AUCUGUGAGGGACUAAGGGCUGCGGCUGUCUUCCUGAGUAAGCCAAUACCACCCUAGUCUGGUUCCUUGCAACCCUCUGCCAAUCUGUGUGGCAGCUGAAAGUGAGGCUCUGUGACUCACCUUCUGCAGGGGGUUUCCUGGAAAGGUUCUCUUUGUGCUGAGUCCUUUUUGCCACUCCUGUGCCACCUUGCCAUCUGUGCACAAGUGCUGUGUGGCACGCACAGUGCGUUGAACUCACUGUGGUGCUUCUGACUUAGGCCAGCCUCAGCCUGAGAGGCCGACUUAGGAACCACAGGUAUUUGGUGUGAUCAACUUCCGUUCUGUCUUGUGUCUGCAUUUUGCAGACUGUAUCUUACCCCACC
Molecule: long non-coding RNA, 362 nt
Filed under: Mus musculus (house mouse)
Lineage: Eukaryota; Metazoa; Chordata; Mammalia; Rodentia; Muridae
Description: long non-coding RNA chr4:133399584-133399946
Source: RNAcentral